This 72-nucleotide transfer RNA is filed under the name Bos taurus (domestic cattle). It matches the Rfam family "tRNA". From Rfam's summary of the family: Transfer RNA (tRNA) molecules are approximately 80 nucleotides in length. Their secondary structure includes four short double-helical elements and three loops (D, anti-codon, and T loops). The record is from Rfam by way of RNAcentral. Lineage: Eukaryota; Metazoa; Chordata; Mammalia; Artiodactyla; Bovidae. RNAcentral also lists the same sequence under 3 other names.
UCCCUGGUGGCUCAGAGGUUAAAGCGUCUGCCUCCAAUGCAGGAGACCCAGGUUCGAUCCCUGGAUUGGGAA